CUAUGCGCCUUGCCAGCCCGCUCAGGUGUGCCAGCAGCCGCGGUAAUACGUAGGUGGCAAGCGUUAUCCGGAUUUAUUGGGUGUAAAGGGCGUGUAGGCGGGAAAUGCAAGUCAGAUGUGAAAACUAUGGGCUCAACCCAUAGCCUGCAUUUGAAACUGUAUUUCUUGAGUGCUGGAGAGGCAAUCGGAAUUCCGUGUGUAGCGGUGAAAUGCGUAGAUAUACGGAGGAACACCAGUGGCGAAGGCGGAUUGCUGGACAGUAACUGACGUUGAGGCUCGAAAGCGUGGGGAGCAAACAGG
RNAcentral lists this ribosomal RNA (300 nucleotides) under uncultured bacterium. Its description in RNAcentral is "bacterial SSU rRNA". It matches the Rfam family "Bacterial small subunit ribosomal RNA", at positions 475 to 776 of the family's 1533-position model. The record is from RNAcentral.